AGUAAUAUUAACAUUUUUAUCUUAUUUUACAACAAAUAUACCAUCAACUGACUGAUGGUAAUGACAUUUUUGCUAGCUGGCAUUAAUUUAAGUUUUAACAAAAAAAAAAUACAGUGAAAUUGGCUGUCAUGAAUUCAGUAAUAUUCUCUAUAAUGCUUGAGGUGCUGGUAAUGAUCGCCGUCCUGCCUUGACUUGUUGACCUGCUCCCGGGCUGAGAUAUGGCUAGACGGACUUGAAAUGUUUAAUCGGUUAAUCUUCUAUACAAAAGCAGUUUUUUUUAAAAAUUCAAAACAUUCCAGAAUGGCAGCAGCUCAUUUCAACACACUUUAUGACAGUUCCCAUAGCCAAUAUAAGGGUGUGUGUACAACUCUUCUUGGUGACUUGGUGCGAUUAAAACAUGUCAGCGUAUGAAGGGUGUGGGGUUCAAACGACAUGAUUGUGUCAAUGUUGAUGAAAGAGCCUGUACUUGGAACGCAGUAGGAAGAAUCUAGAAUUAAAAUACAGUCGAUUGUCUCCAACUGAACAACCAGAAACAGGAUCUGUGGUUUUACAAAAGCAGUAAUGUUUGUUUGGGGAGGUGUGGAUGAUCACACUAACCUUUCGGAGCCAACCGCCUUUGUGUAGGCUGAUGAUACAAUAGAGCUCCCACCCAAACCUCUCUCUCUUUCUCUGUGCAUCUGUACAGAUGAUCUUGAAGGAAAAGUGAAGUGGUUGGACAACUACCAGAAGGUGAAACAGCUGAAGGAAGCUCUGGUGUGGCUUCCUGUGUGGGAGCAAGACAAGAGGGCGCAUGUUCCUGAGAAUCUGAAGCACUUGCUAAAAGCUGUAACUCUGGAGAACCUGGUGUCUCACCGUAGUCUUCUACAUGAUGGGAAGCUCGUUCUCAUAGAAAAUGCCAAGAUGCAUGAGGUCUACCUGUUUCUCUUUGACGAAUUCCUUCUAAUCACGAAGAUCAAGCGAAGCAAAAAG
This is a long non-coding RNA of Sinocyclocheilus rhinocerous, 969 nucleotides long. RefSeq lists it as uncharacterized. The record is from RefSeq and is a predicted model, not a curated record. The transcript has 3 exons. NCBI's taxonomy places the organism in Eukaryota, Metazoa, Chordata, Actinopteri, Cypriniformes, Cyprinidae.